AAAAUGCGAUAAGUAGUGUGAAUUGCAGAAUUCAGUGAAUCAUCGAAUCUUUGAACGCACAUUGCGCCCUUUGGUAUUCCUUAGGGCAUGCCUGUUCGAGCGUCAUUUUCACCUUCAAGCACAGCUUGGUGUUGGGUGUCUGUCCUGCCGUCGGCAUGGACUCGCCUUAAAAUAAUUGGCAGCCACUUCAGCGGCUUUGAGCGCAGCAGAAUUGCGUCUCUAGCAGUAGAAGGUAGCCCCCCAUAAGCUUUACUUUUAUAUUUUGACCUCGGAUCAGGUAGGGAUACCCGCUGAACUUAA
This 300-nucleotide unclassified non-coding RNA is filed under the name uncultured Lophiostoma. RNAcentral's name for it is "sequence contains ITS1". The stretch from base 1 to 105 matches the Rfam family "5.8S ribosomal RNA", at positions 50 to 154 of the family's 154-position model. Lineage: Eukaryota; Fungi; Ascomycota; Dothideomycetes; Pleosporales; Lophiostomataceae. The record is from RNAcentral.